RNAcentral lists this unclassified non-coding RNA (329 nucleotides) under soil metagenome. RNAcentral describes it as "partial contains 5.8S ribosomal RNA, internal transcribed spacer 2, and large subunit ribosomal RNA". The stretch from base 1 to 120 matches the Rfam family "5.8S ribosomal RNA", at positions 35 to 154 of the family's 154-position model. The record is from RNAcentral.
GAUGAAGAACGCAGCGAAAUGCGAUAAGUAGUGUGAAUUGCAGAAUUCAGUGAAUCAUCGAAUCUUUGACCGCACAUUGCGCCCCUUGGUAUCCCGAGGGGCAUGCCUGUUCGAGCGUCAUUUCACCACUCAAGCCUGGCUUGGUGUUGGGCGACGUCCCCUUUGGGGACGCGCCUCGAAACGCUCGGCGGCGUGGCACCGGCUUUAAGCGUAGCAGAAUCUUUCGCUUUGGAAGUCGGGGCCCCGUCUGCCGGAAGACCUACUCGCAAGGUUGACCUCGGAUCAGGCAGGGAUACCCGCUGAACUUAAGCAUAUCAAUAAGCGGAGGA